RNAcentral lists this ribosomal RNA (471 nucleotides) under uncultured bacterium. RNAcentral's name for it is "bacterial SSU rRNA". It matches the Rfam family "Bacterial small subunit ribosomal RNA", at positions 335 to 803 of the family's 1533-position model. The record is from RNAcentral.
ACUCCUACGGGAGGCAGCAGUGGGGAAUAUUGCACAAUGGGGGAAACCCUGAUGCAGCCAUGCCGCGUGUGUGAAGAAGGUCUUCGGGUUGUAAAGCACUUUCAGUAGGGAGGAAGGUAGUGUAGUUAACACCUGCAUUAUUUGACGUUACCUACAGAAGAAGCACCGGCUAACUCCGUGCCAGCAGCCGCGGUAAUACGGAGGGUGCGAGCGUUAAUCGGAAUUACUGGGCGUAAAGCGCAUGCAGGCGGCCUGUUAAGUCAGAUGUGAAAGCCCGGGGCUUAACCUCGGAAUUGCAUUUGAAACUGGCAGGCUAGAGUCUUGUAGAGGGGUUAGAAUUUCAGGUGUAGCGGUGAAAUGCGUAGAGAUCUGAAGGAAUACCAGUGGCGAAGGCGGCCCCUGGACAAAGACUGACGCUCAGAUGCGAAAGCGUGGGAGCAAACAGGAUUAGAUACCCCUGGUAGCGACUGA